Molecule: RNA transcript, 2620 nt
Organism: Tripterygium wilfordii
Lineage: Eukaryota; Viridiplantae; Streptophyta; Magnoliopsida; Celastrales; Celastraceae
Gene name: pentatricopeptide repeat-containing protein At1g03540
Exons: 2
Source: RefSeq, a predicted model, not a curated record
GGGAGCAUUGUCGCAAAACUAAUGGCAGGCAAGGCAUAACCGUCGGUUUCCAAAGUUCAAUUUGUCAGUUAUAGAUUCAUUUGUUGAUGAAGGUCUUCUUGCGCCAUUGCAGCUCUCUUGCGACUCCGAAUCUAAAGAAAGUCAAUACCCAAUCAAUCAGAGAAAUCCAAAUUCUCCAGCUCUGCAAGUCCGGCUUGCUUCUCGAUGCGAUUCAAAUCCUAAACUCAUUAGACUGGACCAACAUCUCCAAUAAACCCCUUGCAUAUGCCUCUCUCUUACAAACCUGCACUAAAGUCCUCUCUUUCAAUCAUGGCCUCCAAAUCCACGCCCAUGUCAUUAAAUCCGGUCUUGAGACUGAUAGAUUUGUUGGCAAUAGCUUGCUCUCUCUUUAUUUCAAGUUGUGUUCCGAUUUUGUGGAGACAAGGAAAGUUUUUGAUGGUUUGUUUGCCAAAGAUGUGGUAUCUUGGUCUUCAAUGAUAUCGGGGUAUAUUCGGGUAGGGAAACCCAAGAGCUCGCUUGUUUUGUUCGGGGAAAUGUUGGAUUUUGGAGUGGAGCCAAAUGGGUUCACUUUAUCUGCCGUGAUUAAGGCAUGCUCGGAGAUGGGGGACUUGAGGCUUGGCAGAUGCUUUCAUGGGAUGGUUAUAAUACGUGGAUUUGAUUCGAAUCAUGUCAUGUCUAGUGCUUUGAUCGAUAUGUAUGGAAGGAAUUACGGGUGGGAGGAUGCACGGCAGUUGUUCGACGAGUUGACUCAACCAGACGCUAUUUGCUGGACAUCAGUAAUUUCAGCAUUGACGAGGAAUGAUUUGUACGAGGAAGCAUUGGAAUUCUUUUAUUCAAUGCAAAGAAAAUAUGGGUUGUCCGCGGAUGGAUAUACCUUUGGGACAGUGUUGACUGCUUGUGGUAAUUUAGGGAAGUUGAAGCGAGGAAGAGAAGUGCACGCUAAGGUCAUUACAUCUGGACUCUGUGGAAAUAUUGUUGUUGAGAGCAGCCUUGUGGACAUGUAUGGAAAAUGUGGAUUGGUUCACGAAUCUCAGCACGUUUUUGAUCGGAUGUCUCAAAAGAAUUCAGUUUCUUGGUGUGCGUUACUCGGUGGAUACUGUCAAAAUGGAGACUUUCAUUCUGUGUUCAAGGUUUUCCGGGAAAUGAAAGAAGUUGAUCUAUACUGUUUUGGGACUAUCAUCCGCGCAUGUGCAGGCUUGGCUGCUGUAAAUCUAGGGAAAGAGGUUCACUGCCAGUAUUUCAGGAGGUGUGGUUGGAGGGAUGUUAUUGCAGAAUCAGCUUUAGUUGAUCUUUAUGCAAAAUGCGGUUGUAUUGAUUUUGCAUAUAGAAUCUUUAUACAAAUGCCAACACGAAAUUUGAUAACGUGGAACUCAAUGAUUUAUGGUUUUGCUCAAAAUGGAAGAGGGCUAGAAGCUCUUGGAAUGUUUGAUGAGAUGGUCAAAGAUGGGAUAAGUCCUGAUUAUAUUAGUUUCAUCGGGGUUCUCUUUGCUUGCAGCCAUACAGGUUUGGUUGAUGAGGGGAAGAAAUAUUUUUCCUUAAUGACCAAAGACUAUGAGAUCAAGGCUGGAAUUGAGCACUACAAUUGCAUGGUUGAUCUUCUAGGCCGCGCUGUCUUAUUAGAAGAAGCUGAGAAUAUGAUAAAUGAUUCAGAUUUUAGAGAUGAUUCAUCUCUCUGGGAAGUUCUUCUUGGUGCCUCCACAACCUAUAAAGACUCUACUACUUCAGAGCGUAUAGCAAAGAAAAUGAUGGAAUUGAGACCUGAUCACCACUUGAGUUAUGUGUACCUAGCUAAUGUCUACAGAGCAGUGGGGCGGUGGAAUGAUGCGUUAGCAAUUAGGAAGUUGAUGGAAGAUAGAGGUGUUAAAAAGACGCCUGGAAAGAGCUGGAUUUAGACUAACAAGAACUUGGGUCAUAAAUUUGGGAGGCUCAUGCCGGCAGUUCAGGACACAAAAGUUUUUAAAUGUUUCCUUGAUCCUUAAAAGGAAUGUUUUAAAGGCUGACUGAUAUCAUAGACCAGGAAUGAUCAAAUUUCCCAUUGUCUGUGCUGCUGCUGUUCUGAAACCUAGUUUUCCCUUAGUCUUGAAUCUCAGACAGUGUGCAUGAGCGUUCAAUUCACCGACUACAAAGGCAACUGGCGUGCACAUUGAAGUUCCAUUGCUGAUAGAUACGGUUGCAGAAUGUUGUUCCUCAGAGCACAACAGAUGAUUUCAGGCAGGUUUCAGGAAGAAAAUAUGCAGGAACAAGCAAAAGUAAGAACGCUAAACUCGAUCUUCGGCCUUGCUUGUUUAAGUGAAAGAAGGGACCGAUGUUCGGUAUACUGUGGUUCCUCAAUCUUUCAGAAGUUCAAAGCUAACCGUCUUGGUCUUCUGAACAGCGGUUGAAUGAGAUCUCAUCAUCAUGGAAUGGAGCCUCAUUAUUUUAUUUUUUCUUAAUGAACAUUUUCAUACUAUAUUCCUUGAAAUGAAUGCCUUACAAAUCCUAAAGAUUUUCCAAUUUGAGAGGAUUGAGAGUGAAUAAUGAAUUUUUUAUGGUGCCAAGAGACCAUUUCUCUUUAAAUUUCUUUCCCUGUAAUGAGGAAUUUUUAUGAGGCCAAUCUUUUUCAGUGCUUGAAAACUGAAAA